This 440-nucleotide ribosomal RNA is filed under the name uncultured bacterium. RNAcentral describes it as "partial 16S ribosomal RNA". It matches the Rfam family "Bacterial small subunit ribosomal RNA", at positions 338 to 795 of the family's 1533-position model. The record is from RNAcentral.
CCUACGGGCGGCAGCAGUGGGGAAUAUUGCACAAUGGGGGAAACCCUGAUGCAGCGACGCCGCGUGAGUGAAGAAGUAUUUCGGUAUGUAAAGCUCUAUCAGCAGGGAAGAAAAUGACGGUACCUGAUUAAGAAGCCCCGGCUAACUACGUGCCAGCAGCCGCGGGAAUACGUAGGGGGCAAGCGUUAUCCGGAUUUACUGGGUGUAAAGGGAGCGUAGACGGCAGGACAAGUCAGGAGUGAAAUGCCGGGGCUUAACCCCGGAACUGCUUUGGAAACUGGGCAGCUAGAGUGCAGGAGAGGGAAGUGGAAUUCGUGGUGUAGCGGUGAAAUGCGUAGAUAUUAGGAGGAACACCAGUGGCGAAGGCGGCUUACUGGACUGUAACUGACGUUGAGGCUCGAAAGCGUGGGGAGCAAACAGGAGUAGAUACCCUUGUAGUC